Molecule: long non-coding RNA, 1479 nt
Organism: Ictalurus punctatus (channel catfish)
Lineage: Eukaryota; Metazoa; Chordata; Actinopteri; Siluriformes; Ictaluridae
Source: Ensembl
AAAUUAAUGAGCUUUGUUAACAGAAUUCUGACCUGGAGCACAAGAAAAGCUGAAAGAUGGAGUUGAAGACAGAAAAAGCCAUUUCUACAAUGAAAAAAACGUUACGCACAUUUCAUGGCAGUCUUGCCCGGAUCAAUAUGGCGAACACGUUGACCUAACACAGCAACAGGUCAAAGAGGCCAAAGUGGCGUCUAUGUAUGUCUAUGACUUCACUUAGCACCAAGGUGGAGCUACUUUUAGGCCACAACUGCCUUUGUGUAGUAAUGUGUCUCAUCUGCAUAUUCAGCAGAAGGAAUUGAUAAGCAGUGUGCAAUGCAAAUAUCUGUGGCCUCUUUUUCACUCUGCAAAAAAAAUGUCAUCUUAGCAAGUGAAUUUAAAGACGGUGGUAUCUUUAUCUACUAUGUCUUCCAGGGAACCCCAAGCGGGACCUCCCAAUUGUGUUAGAGUCUCUUAAAGAGCCUACUUAUAUUGGUUUGUAGUGGGUGUCUUUGAAAACUGCCUUCCUGCUAGCAAGCAUCCCACUUCACUCCACAAUUGGGAAGUUGCAUGCUCUGGCAAUAAACAAGCCUUAUAUGCAGCAGUGACCAGAUGAGUCUGGAGUUACCUCAUGGUUAAAUCCAGGUUUUCUGCCCAAUAUCAUAUCACAUGAUAACUGUGUGAAUCAGUCUAUUGACCAUGCAGCCUUCUGUACCCGGUAAUUUCUUUGUGGUAUUAUUUGGACCAGACAGCAGCCAUUUGAUUCACAGACCAGCUGUUUAUUUGGGGAUAAGACAUGGGAUGCUGCCUUGGAGAAACAUAGGUUAGCCAACUGGGUGGUGGAAGUAAUCACCUUAGCCCACAAAUGACCUGUUUGACAUAUCACUGGUUUUCCGGGAAAGUUUUCUUUACAUUAUGGUAACAUCUCUGAUAAAAUUUGAACCUCUCAUGAACGCUCUCGUGAACCCAGCAGUAUCCUGGGAUGGUUCAGAGAAUAUUCUCCUCUCCUGACCUGUUACUAUACUGAUAUAAACCUGGUUAGUUGCCAUAUGGUUCCCGUUACAUUUGUAUCGAAUAAAUUUAUUUUCUUUCUUUUUUUAAACUAACAAAAAACACAAACUUAAGAGACGUGUUGCCUGGUGUUGAGCCAAUUUGCUUUGUUAAAUUUGCUUUGUUGAGAUGCUGUGCAAAAAGCAAGGCAAAGAUACAUGAAAUUGGAAACAUCACCUAUCAUAUGUAAGCAGAAACUGUGGCAUUGGACACUGACCAUGUCAGGCAUCUGAGCUCAUUUUUCCUGUUAGCAGUCUAACAAGCCUGAAGAUAUACUCCUUCAACUGUGAACCAACUGUAGCUCCAAUCUGCACCUUAAUACCUGGACAUUGUUCAUGAGCUCAAGAAAAUAAAGAAAUAAGUAUAGGUGAAAUCUAUGAAAAAGAAAAACUGAGAUUAAAUUGUCAGUGUACCAUAUAGUGGCUCUGUAUGGAAAGGCCAUUGCCAUUGCUG